Molecule: ribosomal RNA, 497 nt
Filed under: uncultured bacterium
Lineage: Bacteria
Description: partial 16S ribosomal RNA
Rfam family: Bacterial small subunit ribosomal RNA
Source: RNAcentral
GAUGAACGCUGGCGGCGUGCCUAAUACAUGCAAGUCGAGCGAACGGACGAGAAGCUUGCUUUUCUGAUGUUAGCGGCGGACGGGUGAGUAACACGUGGAUAACCUACCUAUAAGACUGGGAUAACUUCGGGAAACCGGCGCUUAUACCGGAUAAUAUUUUGAACCACAUGGUUCAAAAGUGAAAGUCGGUCUUGCUGUCACUUAUAGAUGGAUCCGCGCUGCUUUAGCUGGUUGGUAAGGUCACGGCUUACCACGGCAACGAGGCAUAGCCGACCUGAGAGAGGGAUCGGCCACACGGGAAGUGGAACACGGACCAGACUCCUGCGAGAGGCAGCAGUAGGGAAUCUUCGGCAAUGGGCGAAAGCCUGACGGAGCAACGCCGCGUGAGUGACAAAGACCUUCGGAUCGUAAAAAUCUGUUAUUAGGGAAGAACAGAUGUGUAAGUAACUGUGCACAUCUUGACGGUACCUAAUCAGAAAGCCACGGCUAACUACGUG